AUGACCGCCGACAAGCGUCGUGGCCUCUCCACCAUUGCGGUGCUCACAGCUUGGUCUCUUUGGCGCCACCACAAUGUUGUGAUCUUCGACAAGAUAGCUCCCUCCUCCACUUCUCUCCUUGUGGCAAUUCAAGAGGAGGCUCGCUCCUGGACUAACACCGGAGCCAAAGGGCUUAGCAAUAUUAUCCCUGUAAUGUAA
This 198-nucleotide ribosomal RNA is filed under the name Triticum aestivum (bread wheat). RNAcentral's name for it is "partial small subunit ribosomal RNA". The record is from RNAcentral. Lineage: Eukaryota; Viridiplantae; Streptophyta; Magnoliopsida; Poales; Poaceae.